CUUUUUUUAAUUAAAGUAUUUUUUUUAGACAAGGUCUCAUUAUAUAGCCUUGGCUAGCCUGGAACUCAUUAUGUAGACUAGGAUAGCCAUGAACUCAGAGAUCAGCCUGCCUCUUCCUCUCAAGUACUGUGAUUAAAGGUGUGCACUACCACACUUUCCAUUUCUUCAGACAGAUUUCUUUGUGUAACUUAUUAAAAUACUUGAAGAAUUUUGCAUAAAAACAAAGUAAGCAUUUAAACAUUUGAAAUCACACACACACACAAAAACAAGCAAUAAGGAAUUAGUCACAUAGUUAACAAAAAGUAAAAAUAAAAGUAUAUCCACAAUAAGGAAAUAAUAUGGUUAUAAGAUUCAUAUGGUUAAAGAGUGUAUGUGUAGCAAAGCAUUUAUAGUCAUAGCCUGGCUCAAAUCUCACCAAAUCUCACCUCAAGAAAGGUUUUUUUUUUAUAAACGUAUUAAUUUAAUUUAAUACUUAAUUUUGUUUUGAAACUUGAAGCUGAGCAGGACACUAUAUAGUAGUUCUGAGAUUAACAAAAAUUUAUUCUACAUUAUGAGACCAUAUCGAUAAGUUCAGAAGAAGAAAAUAAUGUAUGGUUUGUGGAAAUCUACCACGACUGAAUAAUGCUCCUCUGUCAGGAGACUUUUAGAAAGAAGCUUCACUGGUAUUCAUAAGCAAGUGUGUGACUGGUACAUAGUGAGAAAGGAAGAUUAGUGUUCCACUUCCAUAAUAGCUACAUUAUCUUGUUAAAGAACUGGUCUUGGGUUUUCUUUUCUGUACCCAUUUCUUUUUACUUACACACUACAGAUAUUUUUAAAUAUCCUUUUAAAUUGUUUAACUACAUCUCAUAGUAUAUAAGCUAUAAUACUGGUUAAGUUUAGAAUGAUGUGUUUGUGGAACUAUGUAUCUCCUUUUAUAAUGCAUUUACAGUUGCCUAGCAAGCCCUUCAUUCUAGAAGGGAACCGUGGAGAUACAUGGCGUAAACUUUCAUUUUACUGUAGCUUAAUCAUUGGUAUCACAUGACUUUUACAGUCACUUUUCUUGAGCAGAUUUUCCAUAAGUACUAGGAGAGUCACUGUGAAUCAGCUUUGUUACAACAAUGUGAUUCCAAAUGUGAAUCAUUACUGAGUUCUCUUGGAUCUUUGCAACUGGAACUUGGGGGCUGAUGGCGUGUGUCAGGAAGACAGAAAAAGAUGGCGCCACGUCAGAUCUGAUUUCCUGGGUCUGCACUUAAAGAUUAUCUGUUGAAGAAUGAUUCUUCCCCAUGUCCUCUCCAGAGCCACAUCUGUCACUUCUCCAGAGGCUUAGAAGGCCCUAUUUCACCACUGCCACACAGAAAAAGACAAAACUCAAGAAAAAUAACAUCACAAGGCAAACUGCUCUACAAGACAACAUCAUGCUUAGAGCCUCACUUCAGGUUGUCCCCUACGUACCCACUAUUACCAGUCACCUUACCAGGCGUCACAGAUGACGGAUGACGAAGGAGCACCGCCUCACACGAUCUUUAUCAUGUGUGUGUCCUAAGCUGAAAAGGCACUUCUUUGUAGAUGGAACUCGUGUCUUCAUGAAUCUGGAAAAAACCUCGAUCCUAAAUGUGUGAACUUUCAAAGACAGAAGCAGCAGGCAAGUACUCCAGCCUGAGCCAUUGUCCCCACAGCCCAAGGAAGGGCGAGAGCGAGCGGAGGCAGGGGAGUGGUGGAUGUUUUCCAUCCCCCUUAAUUUUACAAGCUAAGUAACUUUUUUGUCUGUUUUUUCUUUCUUUUUCCUUUAGGGUUUAUUUAUUUAUUACGUAUACAGUGUUCUGUCUGCAGGUCAGAAGAGGGCAUCAGAUCUCAUUAUUGUGAGCCACCAUGUGGUUGCUGGGAAUCGAACUCAGGACCUCUGGAAGAGCAGCCAGUGCUCUUAACCUCUGAGCCAUCUCUCCAGCCCAAGCUAAGUAACUUUUACCUGAACCCUGUCUUGUUAAAGACAAUUAACUGUACAUUCUACUUGGAGAAACCUGUGCUACCCUGUAGCUAAAUUCCCCCAAACCACGCAUACUAUGUAGUAUGAAACAGAAAACAUCAUCAAACAUGCCUUUUUCAAAUUGUCA
This is a long non-coding RNA of Peromyscus eremicus (cactus mouse), 2090 nucleotides long. RefSeq lists it as uncharacterized. The transcript is spliced from 3 exons. The record is from RefSeq and is a predicted model, not a curated record. NCBI's taxonomy places the organism in Eukaryota, Metazoa, Chordata, Mammalia, Rodentia, Cricetidae.